UUAAAGAAAUCAUCGUCAAGUCGGAGGAAGAGAUGGAUGAUCAUCGCAGACUGCUGGAUUUCUCCCGGAGGCCCCAGAUAAUCUUACACCGAAUAGGUUUCAUAAAGACCAUGUGAGGAAGAAGUGGGGAAUGUCUUUAAGGAGAGACGGAUUCACUGCACUGAUGAAUCUCAGCUGCUGAAUCUCUCUUAAGCUCCUCCUCGGCUGGAAAACAUGAAUAAAACCUAUAUAGAUAUUAUGUAUAUACGCAUGUCCAUAUAAUUAUGUGUAGUUUAGUGCAUAUUAUUCAGCAUUUAUAAUUAUUAAGCAUCUUUAUUUCUCUCUGAUUGUAUUAUUUUGUGUUUGUAUAUUUAUAUAAAUAUGUAUUGAUAUCACUAAAUAACAUAUUUCAAAAA
This is a long non-coding RNA of Xiphophorus hellerii (green swordtail), 395 nucleotides long. RefSeq lists it as uncharacterized. Lineage: Eukaryota; Metazoa; Chordata; Actinopteri; Cyprinodontiformes; Poeciliidae. The record is from RefSeq and is a predicted model, not a curated record. The transcript has 2 exons.